RNAcentral lists this ribosomal RNA (566 nucleotides) under Drosophila melanogaster (fruit fly). RNAcentral describes it as "eukaryotic LSU rRNA". It matches the Rfam family "Eukaryotic large subunit ribosomal RNA", at positions 1778 to 2274 of the family's 3401-position model. Lineage: Eukaryota; Metazoa; Arthropoda; Insecta; Diptera; Drosophilidae. The record is from RNAcentral.
UUGUGUCGAUAUUUUCUCCUCGGACCUUGAAAAUUUAUGGUGGGGACACGCAAACUUCUCAACAGGCCGUACCAAUAUCCGCAGCUGGUCUCCAAGGUGAAGAGUCUCUAGUCGAUAGAAUAAUGUAGGUAAGGGAAGUCGGCAAAUUAGAUCCGUAACUUCGGGAUAAGGAUUGGCUCUGAAGAUUGAGAUAGUCGGGCUUGAUUGGGAAACAAUAACAUGGUUUAUGUGCUCGUUCUGGGUAAAUAGAGUUUCUAGCAUUUAUGUUAGUUACUUGUUCCCCGGAUAGUUUAGUUACGUAGCCAAUUGUGGAACUUUCUUGCUAAAAUUUUUAAGAAUACUAUUUGGGUUAAACCAAUUAGUUCUUAUUAAUUAUAACGAUUAUCAAUUAACAAUCAAUUCAGAACUGGCACGGACUUGGGGAAUCCGACUGUCUAAUUAAAACAAAGCAUUGUGAUGGCCCUAGCGGGUGUUGACACAAUGUGAUUUCUGCCCAGUGCUCUGAAUGUCAAAGUGAAGAAAUUCAAGUAAGCGCGGGUCAACGGCGGGAGUAACUAUGACUCUCU